RNAcentral lists this small nucleolar RNA (121 nucleotides) under Myotis lucifugus (little brown bat). Its description in RNAcentral is "Small nucleolar RNA SNORA75 (ENSMLUG00000019877.1)". The record is from RNAcentral. Lineage: Eukaryota; Metazoa; Chordata; Mammalia; Chiroptera; Vespertilionidae.
AUUGAGCUCCUUUUCUGUUGAUCUGUGGCAGUUUAUGGAUUCACACAAGAGACAAUUCACAGACUAGCAUUAUUUUGCCUCCUGCCUUCAAAGGUAUAUUCUGCUGUUCUGUGAGACAUUC